AUUGCUUCUUGUCCUUUUGGCUAAGAUCAAGUGUAGUAUCUGUUCUUACCAGUCGUGGGGUAUUUGCUCCAGCCAUGGAGUGUUCCGUUUAACGCACCAGGGGGACGGAGAAAGCACUUGGUUGAGGCCAGAGGCCAAGUUGCCACUUGAAGCCCCGAGUUUUUUGCACCCCUGGACCCACAGAUCUUGCACCCCCAUCUGUGAUACGGCACUAGU
Xenopus tropicalis (tropical clawed frog) is the source of this 216-nucleotide small nuclear RNA. Its record names the gene U2. It matches the Rfam family "U2 spliceosomal RNA". Rfam says of the family: U2 is a small nuclear RNA (snRNA) component of the spliceosome (involved in pre-mRNA splicing). Complementary binding between U2 snRNA (in an area lying towards the 5' end but 3' to hairpin I) and the branchpoint sequence (BPS) of the intron results the bulging out of an unpaired adenosine, on the BPS, which initiates a nucleophilic attack at the intronic 5' splice site, thus starting the first of two transesterification reactions that mediate splicing. The record is from Ensembl. Lineage: Eukaryota; Metazoa; Chordata; Amphibia; Anura; Pipidae.